ACGGGUGAGUAACACGUGGAUGAUCUACCCUUGAGCGGGGGAUAACAGUCCGAAAGGAUUGCUAAUACCGCAUACGUCAGCUGGCGAUGGUCAGUUGGGAAAGCAGCCCUCUUCAUGAAAGGUUGCACUCGAGGAUGAGUCCGCGUCCCAUCAGCUAGUUGGUAGGGUAAUGGCCUACCAAGGCUAAGACGGGUAGCUGGUCUGAGAGGAUGAUCAGCCACACUGGAACUGAGACACGGUCCAGACUCCUACGGGAGGCAGCAGUGGGGAAUAUUGGGCAAUGGGCGCAAGCCUGACCCAGCCACGCCGCGUGAGUGAUGAAGGCCUUCGGGUCGUAAAGCUCUGUGGGGAGGGACGAAAAAACGCUGGCCAAUAUCCAGCGGACUGACGGUACCUCCUUAGCAAGCACCGGCUAACUCUGUGCCAGCAGCCGCGGUAAUACAGAGGGUGCAAACGUUGCUCGGAAUCAUUGGGCGUAAAGCGCACGUAGGCGGCCUAGCAAGUAGGGAGUGAAAGCCCUCGGCUUAACCGAGGAAGUGCUUUCUAAACUACUAGGCUUGAAUACUGGAGAGGGUCGCGGAAUUCCC
This 587-nucleotide ribosomal RNA is filed under the name uncultured bacterium. RNAcentral describes it as "bacterial SSU rRNA". It matches the Rfam family "Bacterial small subunit ribosomal RNA", at positions 102 to 671 of the family's 1533-position model. The record is from RNAcentral.